Molecule: long non-coding RNA, 175 nt
Filed under: Parus major (Great Tit)
Lineage: Eukaryota; Metazoa; Chordata; Aves; Passeriformes; Paridae
Description: lncRNA (ENSPMJG00000004081.1)
Source: RNAcentral
UGGACACGGUGACACCCCCGGAUGUGGUGACACCCCCGGACAUGGUGACACCAGACAUGGUGACACAGGACACGGUGACACUGGACACGGUGACACUGGACACGGUGACACUGGACACGGUGACACCCCCGGACAUGGUGACACCCCCGGACACGGUGACACCUCUGGACACGGU